RNAcentral lists this long non-coding RNA (528 nucleotides) under Monodelphis domestica (gray short-tailed opossum). RNAcentral describes it as "lncRNA (ENSMODG00000037313.1)". The record is from RNAcentral. Lineage: Eukaryota; Metazoa; Chordata; Mammalia; Didelphimorphia; Didelphidae.
AUGAACUUACUGGUGUUUGGACCUUGCAAUGCAGAACAACAAGAAUGUCUUCUGCAUUGCCAGGAACAGAGAGCUCUAUGUGACAGUUCCAUCUGCCCGACAGAGACCAGUUUUCUCCAACAACUGGCAUCCUUACCACAAGCACAAUCUACGAAGUCCCUCUACCUUCCAAGUGACACAGGAAUGUUUAGAAGAUCAGUAUCACCAGUGAGAACUGAAGAAUUCCAAAAUCUAUCACAGAAGACACAAAAAUGCAUAUGUAAGUUGUCUAUGUCUCAAUUUGAAUAUCUCUUGUUCCUUUGCAAUCUCAAGAAUAUUUCUCUAACUUUUAUUUAUCUUAACUUAUGCAAUGGCCUGAAAUCCAAAAAAAAAGAUUUGUAGGGUGAUUCUAUUGCCAACACCCCUAGCUUGGAGACCAAAAGGCCAAUUUUAAGGUGGUUACCUGUCCCUGACAUAUGUGAUCUUGUUGUGAGGACCAAAUGAGUUAACAUAAAUAAAGUGCUUUUCAACCCUUAAACUGAUAUUUAA